AGUGAACGCUGGCGGUAGGCCUAACACAUGCAAGUCGAACGGCAGCACAGUAAGAGCUUGCUCUUACGGGUGGCGAGUGGCGGACGGGUGAGGAAUACAUCGGAAUCUACUUUUUCGUGGGGGAUAACGUAGGGAAACUUACGCUAAUACCGCAUACGACCUACGGCUGAAAGCAGUGGAUCUUCGGACCUUUCGCGAUUGAAUGAGCCGAUGUCGGAUUAGCUAGUUGGCGGGGUAAAGGCCCACCAAGGCAACGAUCCGUAGCUGGUCUGAGAGGAUGAUCAGCCACACUGGAACUGAGACACGGUCCAGACUCCUACGGGAGGCAGCAGUGGGGAAUAUUGGACAAUGGGCGCAAGCCUGAUCCAGCCAUACCGCGUGGGUGAAGAAGGCCUUCGGGUUGUAAAGCCCUUUUGUUGGGAAAGAAAAGCAGCAGGUUAAUACCCCGCUGUUCUGACGGUACCCAAAGAAUAAGCACCGGCUAACUUCGUG
RNAcentral lists this ribosomal RNA (492 nucleotides) under uncultured bacterium. RNAcentral's name for it is "partial 16S ribosomal RNA". It matches the Rfam family "Bacterial small subunit ribosomal RNA", at positions 29 to 507 of the family's 1533-position model. The record is from RNAcentral.